This 253-nucleotide ribosomal RNA is filed under the name uncultured bacterium. RNAcentral describes it as "partial 16S ribosomal RNA". It matches the Rfam family "Bacterial small subunit ribosomal RNA", at positions 524 to 776 of the family's 1533-position model. The record is from RNAcentral.
UACGGAGGAUGCGAGCGUUACUCGGAAUCACUGGGCGUAAAGCGCGCGUAGGCGGCUUUUCAAGUCAGGGGUGAAAUCCCACGGCCCAACCGUGGAACUGCCUUUGAAACUGUAGAGCUUGAGUGUCGGAGAGGGUGGCGGAAUUCCAGGUGUAGGAGUGAAAUCCGUAGAUAUCUGGAGGAACACCGGUGGCGAAGGCGGCCACCUGGACGACAACUGACGCUGAGGUGCGAAAGCGUGGGUAGCAAACAGG